AGCUUUUCUCUCCAAUCCCGAGGUAUUUUUAGUACAUAAGUCGUUCCUAAAAAUCAUUAUGAUGCAUUUUUCUGCACAAGUGUUCAGAAUUAGAUACUUGUAAACCUAGAAAGAAAUAUAGUAAGUCUUUCUCAUAACCAUACCGCCAAUCUCUAGAGUUCAAAACUCAAUGUCAUUACUAGGCCCAUCUCACUUUUGAUCUCUCUUUUUUUCUUCCUUGUGUAAGACUUCUC
This 233-nucleotide long non-coding RNA is filed under the name Olea europaea (common olive). RNAcentral describes it as "long non-coding RNA (OEUR_LNC013153)". The record is from RNAcentral. Lineage: Eukaryota; Viridiplantae; Streptophyta; Magnoliopsida; Lamiales; Oleaceae.